AGUGAACGCUGGCGGUAGGCCUAACACAUGCAAGUCGAACGGCAGCACAGUAAGAGCUUGCUCUUACGGGUGGCGAGUGGCGGACGGGUGAGGAAUACAUCGGCAUCUACUUUUUCGUGGGGGAUAACGUAGGGAAACUUACGCUAAUACCGCAUACGAUCUACGGGUGAAAGCAGGAGAUCUUCGGACCUUGCGCGAUUGAAUGAGCCGAUGUCGGAUUAGCUAGUUGGCGGGGUAAAGGCCCACCAAGGCGACGAUCCGUAGCUGGUCUGAGAGGAUGAUCAGCCACACUGGAACUGAGACACGGUCCAGACUCCUACGGGAGGCAGCAGUGGGGAAUAUUGGACAAUGGGCGCAAGCCUGAUCCAGCCAUACCGCGUGGGUGAAGAAGGCCUUCGGGUUGUAAAGCCCUUUUGUUGGGAAAGAAAAGCAGCAGGUUAAUACCCCGCUGUUCUGACGGUACCCAAAGAAUAAGCACCGGCUAACUUCGUG
RNAcentral lists this ribosomal RNA (492 nucleotides) under uncultured bacterium. Its description in RNAcentral is "partial 16S ribosomal RNA". It matches the Rfam family "Bacterial small subunit ribosomal RNA", at positions 29 to 507 of the family's 1533-position model. The record is from RNAcentral.